AUUGAACGCUGGCGGCAGGCCUAACACAUGCAAGUCGAACGGUAACAGGAAGAAGCUUGCUUCUUUGCUGACGAGUGGCGGACGGGUGAGUAAUGUCUGGGAAACUGCCUGAUGGAGGGGGAUAACUACUGGAAACGGUAGCUAAUACCGCAUAACGUCGCAAGACCAAAGAGGGGGACCUUCGGGCCUCUUGCCAUCGGAUGUGCCCAGAUGGGAUUAGCUAGUAGGUGGGGUAACGGCUCACCUAGGCGACGAUCCCUAGCUGGUCUGAGAGGAUGACCAGCCACACUGGAACUGAGACACGGUCCAGACUCCUACGGGAGGCAGCAGUGGGGAAUAUUGCACAAUGGGCGCAAGCCUGAUGCAGCCAUGCCGCGUGUAUGAGAAGGCCUUCGGGUUGUAAAGUACUUUCAGCGGGGAGGAAGGGAGUAAAGUUAAUACCUUUGCUCAUUGACGUUACCCGCAGAAGAAGCACCGGCUAACUCCGUG
Molecule: ribosomal RNA, 489 nt
Filed under: uncultured bacterium
Lineage: Bacteria
Description: partial 16S ribosomal RNA
Rfam family: Bacterial small subunit ribosomal RNA
Source: RNAcentral